UACGAACUGUGCGAACGUUAUUCGGAAUCACUGGGCUUAAAGGGUGCGUAGGCGGCGGCUCAAGUCAGGUGUGAAAUCCCCCGGCUCAACCGGGGAACAGCGCUUGAAACUGGGUGGCUCGAGUGAGGCAGGGGUAUGUGGAACUUCCGGUGGAGCGGUGAAAUGUGUAGAUAUCGGAAGGAACGCCGGCGGCGAAAGCGGCAUACUGGGCCUUGUCUGACGCUGAGGCACGAAAGCCAGGGGAGUGAACGGG
RNAcentral lists this unclassified non-coding RNA (253 nucleotides) under uncultured Planctomycetales bacterium. RNAcentral describes it as "contains 16S-23S intergenic spacer region". It matches the Rfam family "Bacterial small subunit ribosomal RNA", at positions 524 to 776 of the family's 1533-position model. The record is from RNAcentral. Lineage: Bacteria; Pseudomonadati; Planctomycetota; Planctomycetia; Planctomycetales.